This 645-nucleotide ribosomal RNA is filed under the name Triticum aestivum (bread wheat). RNAcentral's name for it is "partial small subunit ribosomal RNA". Lineage: Eukaryota; Viridiplantae; Streptophyta; Magnoliopsida; Poales; Poaceae. The record is from RNAcentral.
AUGGGGGUGUCGCCGGGGGGCAGCGCCGGCUACGAGUGCUCCUUCAAGAUCCUCCUCAUCGGGGACUCGGGCGUCGGCAAGAGCAGCCUCCUCGUCAGCUUCGUCGCCGCCGCCAACCUCGACGACGACAUCGCGCCCACCAUCGGAGUUGAUUUCAAAAUCAAGUUUCUUACUGUUGGUGGAAAGAAACUGAAGCUGACUAUAUGGGAUACUGCUGGCCAGGAGCGGUUUAGGACAAUCACUAGUUCUUACUAUAGAGGUGCUCAAGGAAUUAUUCUAGUAUAUGAUGUCGCGAAGAGAGAGAGCUUCACAAAUUUGGGUGAUGUAUGGACUAAGGAGAUAGACUCAAACUCAUCAAACAAAGACUGCAUAAAAAUGCUUGUUGGAAACAAAGUUGAUAAGGAUGAUGAGAGAACAGUCACAAGAGAAGAAGGUCUUGCCUUUGCACAAGAAUCUGGAUGUCUGUUUCUUGAGAGCAGUGCAAAAACACGAGAAAACGUCGAGAAUUGUUUUGAAGAACUUGUGCUAAAGAUCCUUGAGGUUCCAAGUCUCCUGGAGGAAGGCUCGUCAUCGGUUGUCAAGAGGAACAUUCUGAAAAAGCAACAGGAAAGUCAUGCAAAGUAUGGUGGUAGAUGCUGUCAAUAG